Long non-coding RNA from Rhagoletis pomonella (apple maggot), 549 nucleotides. RefSeq lists it as uncharacterized. NCBI's taxonomy places the organism in Eukaryota, Metazoa, Arthropoda, Insecta, Diptera, Tephritidae. The record is from RefSeq and is a predicted model, not a curated record. The transcript has 2 exons.
AUUCAUCCCCGAGGAAGGCGGUCGCCAAAUUCACCGAAGCACUCACUGCUUUUUUAAAAAGAAAACUUUCUUCCAAGUCUGAACGUGGGGAAAAAGUGCAUAGACAACGCGUUCAAAAAACGAGCGAGUAUAUUUCGGUAAAAGAGAAAGACUAAUGGGAAAGAACUGAAUCGGAAAUAUUCCUCUUCGGUACCAAGAAAAGACAAGAUUUUAAUAAAUUAAUUUUUAGUGUAUUCCACAAAUCCGUGUGAUUGAUCAAAAUUCUAAGUUUAUUUUUUAAUUAAACCAGCAUAAGUGAGCAAAUUUGCGAGUUUAAAGCCGACCAAUAUACAGACGUACAUAUUGCUGAGACUAAAGAAAAUCCUUUGAUGCGUUCAUUGUGUAAUUUGUGGACUUCAUGUGCUUCUAUAGAGAAUUUUGUGUACGAAACAUAAAUAAUACGUACAUAUCCAUGGGUCUGGUACGAUACGUCGAAAUUUAAAUUGUCGAAACUAAAAACACCGAAAAAAAAAUGUCGAAAAAAAAUUGUUAGAAAAUCAAGAAUGUCGA